AUACGUAGGUGGCAAGCGUUGUCCGGAAUUAUUGGGCGUAAAGCGCGCGCAGGUGGUUCCUUAAGUCUGAUGUGAAAGCCCACGGCUCAACCGUGGAGGGUCAUUGGAAACUGGGGAACUUGAGUGCAGAAGAGGAAAGUGGAAUUCCAAGUGUAGCGGUGAAAUGCGUAGAGAUCUGGAGGAACACCAGUGGCGAAGGCGACUACCUGGACCGAUGCUGACACUGAGGAGCGUAAGCGUGGGGAGC
RNAcentral lists this ribosomal RNA (247 nucleotides) under uncultured bacterium. Its description in RNAcentral is "partial 16S ribosomal RNA". It matches the Rfam family "Bacterial small subunit ribosomal RNA", at positions 523 to 769 of the family's 1533-position model. The record is from RNAcentral.